RNAcentral lists this long non-coding RNA (281 nucleotides) under Daucus carota (carrot). Its description in RNAcentral is "long non-coding RNA (DCAR_LNC005481)". The record is from RNAcentral. Lineage: Eukaryota; Viridiplantae; Streptophyta; Magnoliopsida; Apiales; Apiaceae.
CAGGCUUUCGCAACUGCAGAAUUCAUUUCCCAAGAAUCAAUCUUUUGGAAAUUUCGGAGGAACAAGAUAUUUUCAAAAUAGGUCACAUUGGAAUACAAGAAUGACUGGGAGAUCCAUACGAUCAAAUGAACUUAAUGUUGCGUGUCCAUAUUAGACACUACUAAAGGUUGUUAACCUUCUUGUAAUCACAACACACACAAGUGAUGGCGUCCCAUCCAACUCCUAUCACACAGACAGGUAUACCUUGUGUCCCCUAUACAUAGGGUUGUUCAUCCCAAUCA